AUACGGAGGAUCCGAGCGUUAUCCGGAUUUAUUGGGUUUAAAGGGAGCGUAGGCGGGAGAUCAAGUCAGCUGUGAAAUGUAGAUGCUCAACAUCUGCACUGCAGUUGAAACUGGUUUUCUUGAGUGCGUAAGGGGCAGGCGGAAUUCGUCGUGUAGCGGUGAAAUGCUUUGAUAUGACGAAAAACUCCGAUCGCGAAGGCAGCCUGCCGGGCCGCGACUGACGCUGAAGCUCGAAGGUGCGGGUAUCGAACAGGAUUAGAUACCCUGGUAGUCCGCACAGUAAACGAUGGAUACUCGCUGUCGGCGAUAUACUGUCGGUGGCCAAGCGAAAGCGUUAAGUAUCCCACCUGGGGAGUACGCCGGCAACGGUGAAACUCAAAGGAAUUGGCGGGG
RNAcentral lists this ribosomal RNA (393 nucleotides) under uncultured bacterium. Its description in RNAcentral is "partial 16S ribosomal RNA". It matches the Rfam family "Bacterial small subunit ribosomal RNA", at positions 523 to 918 of the family's 1533-position model. The record is from RNAcentral.